RNAcentral lists this long non-coding RNA (1394 nucleotides) under Pan troglodytes (chimpanzee). Its description in RNAcentral is "long non-coding RNA NONPTRT018002". Lineage: Eukaryota; Metazoa; Chordata; Mammalia; Primates; Hominidae. The record is from RNAcentral.
CUCAGGGGCAGCGCCCACCUGCCGGGGGCUCCUGCUCACACGUCUUCAGGUCGUACUGCGGGGUGGGCCCUCCGUUCCGCCUCUCCGUGGGCCUCUCUCCAGGACCACAGCUGCCAGGGACUUUAGACAUCACCCUGGGAGGCCCCUGGACACAGAGGGCUGUGUGCCCAGGAGCAAAUCCGGAGGGGGGCCCUCCUGGCUGCACAGCCCCUUCUGCGUGCCCUGGUCCCAGCCCCAGCCAACGGGACACGGAAGGCUCCCCUCCCUGACACACCACACUGCCACAAAGCUGCUUACUCUGCCCUGGGCCGCCUGAGGCCUGGCACUGCCCGCGGACCACCCUGUGUGUGUCAUCCUGAGGGGCUGUGUGGGUCCUGAGUCCCCAGCCAGCCUUCAGGGUCCCCUUGGAUUGUGUAGAUGCAGUCUAGCGGGGGGCCGGAGAAGGGCUCAGGUGGGAGGGGCCUCAGCAGGCUCCCAGCUCAGGGGCUGGCCUGGGGGGAACCCUGGGAGCCAGGGGCUGACUCCAGCAACACUGGCCUGUCUGCCUGUUCUGGGAGGGCUGUGAGGAUGUCUUGCAGAUGCUCUGGAUUUCUGCGGAGGCACCUCCAUUCCUUUCUGGCUUUUUUUGCGGGGGAGGGCUUUGGGCCUCUUUCUUUGAGGGAACACCGUCAAAGAAAGCCUGGGAGAUCGAGGCUGCAGUGAGCCAGGAUGGAAACGCCUGUCCCAAGGGUCCGGAGCAGGCGGCAGAGGCCUCAGUGCGGCAAACACAGCCCCAGAGCCUGUGUGGCACCAGCAGCAUCUUAGAGCCCCAGGUAUAUGCUGAGAUCUUAUCUCACGCUGUCCUCCAGUGUCUGGGGGGCACAAAUGAUGGCACAGGGGCAGGUGGGCUGGAGGGGCGCAGAUGCCUGUGUUCAGGGAGGGUGGCCACCAUGGGCCGAGGUCUCACCCAGGACCCCUUGCUCUGCUCCUCAGCCUUGCAGUCACGGCAGCACUAUGGUGGACUGCCCAUGGCCGUGUGACUUUGGGGGCAAGUGGGAGGGCGCCCUGAAUAAUGAUUGCAAGGACAACAGGCAGAGGCUACCCUAGAGCAGGACACAGGGUGUAGUACUGACAACCCUAGUAUCACCUCAAAUCCAUGUCCCCACACUCUGGGCAUGGGUGGGACUUGUGACCCUGCCCUGUCAGGCGGACCAGUGGCCCAGGAGCCAUGAGGACAGUUGUGUGCCACUGGAAGAGAAACUUUGAAAAACCCUAAAUCAGGUAGAGAAAGCAAAAAAUCUUUGGCCGUAAACCGUGCUCUCUAAUUUAUCGGCAGCUUCUGUGGAUGACCUCUGAUGAGCCUGGGCUGCGUCCAGGCCCUGGGCAGGUUCUGUUUUCAAAGUUGUUCUCCCCUU